Long non-coding RNA from Pygocentrus nattereri (red-bellied piranha), 561 nucleotides. RefSeq lists it as uncharacterized. The transcript is spliced from 4 exons. The record is from RefSeq and is a predicted model, not a curated record. NCBI's taxonomy places the organism in Eukaryota, Metazoa, Chordata, Actinopteri, Characiformes, Serrasalmidae.
AGGGAGAUUCUCUGACCCUCCGCUGUUUAUUUCGCUCCACAAAGCCCUCAAACCUCACAGCUGAUUUCUAUAAAGAUGGAUCACUGCUCCAGACCCAGACGACAGGAGAGAUGAUCAUCCGUACUGUCUCAAAGUCAGAUGAAGGUCUCUACCACUCUAAACACCCAGAGAGAGGAGAGUCACCACAGAGCUGGCUCUCAGUCAGAGGUUCAGGAGCUCCAGUCUCAGCACUCAGUCUGCUCAGUAGUUUAAUGGCAGUGUCUCCAUAUUUGCUGGUGACCAUCGUGCUGGGGGUCAAAUGCUACAGAGCUCGAGCUAAACCUGAUGAGCAGAGCAGAACAUAAGCAAUGAUGGAAGCUGAAACAUCUUGAGUGCUGAAUGCCAGGAACUCCUGGUUUGGGUUUUAAGGAGUGAAGACAGAAAAGGACCUGAAUACAUUUAGACUGUCAGAAUUAUUUUUAGAAGAAGAAAAAAAUCUCUCAUGCAUUAAAAUGUAAACCCUCUGUCUCUUUUUAUGGUCCUUCAUCCCUGCAAAAUGUUAUGCUUUUACUCUACAAUAUA